RNAcentral lists this ribosomal RNA (1515 nucleotides) under Escherichia coli. RNAcentral's name for it is "partial 23S ribosomal RNA". It matches the Rfam family "Bacterial large subunit ribosomal RNA", at positions 1291 to 2791 of the family's 2925-position model. The record is from RNAcentral. Lineage: Bacteria; Pseudomonadati; Pseudomonadota; Gammaproteobacteria; Enterobacterales; Enterobacteriaceae.
CGAAUGCUGACAUAAGUAACGAUAAAGCGGGUGAAAAGCCCGCUCGCCGGAAGACCAAGGGUUCCUGUCCAACGUUAAUCGGGGCAGGGUGAGUCGACCCCUAAGGCGAGGCCGAAAGGCGUAGUCGAUGGGAAACAGGUUAAUAUUCCUGUACUUGGUGUUACUGCGAAGGGGGGACGGAGAAGGCUAUGUUGGCCGGGCGACGGUUGUCCCGGUUUAAGCGUGUAGGCUGGUUUUCCAGGCAAAUCCGGAAAAUCAAGGCUGAGGCGUGAUGACGAGGCACUACGGUGCUGAAGCAACAAAUGCCCUGCUUCCAGGAAAAGCCUCUAAGCAUCAGGUAACAUCAAAUCGUACCCCAAACCGACACAGGUGGUCAGGUAGAGAAUACCAAGGCGCUUGAGAGAACUCGGGUGAAGGAACUAGGCAAAAUGGUGCCGUAACUUCGGGAGAAGGCACGCUGAUAUGUAGGUGAAGUCCCUCGCGGAUGGAGCUGAAAUCAGUCGAAGAUACCAGCUGGCUGCAACUGUUUAUUAAAAACACAGCACUGUGCAAACACGAAAGUGGACGUAUACGGUGUGACGCCUGCCCGGUGCCGGAAGGUUAAUUGAUGGGGUCAGCGCAAGCGAAGCUCUUGAUCGAAGCCCCGGUAAACGGCGGCCGUAACUAUAACGGUCCUAAGGUAGCGAAAUUCCUUGUCGGGUAAGUUCCGACCUGCACGAAUGGCGUAAUGAUGGCCAGGCUGUCUCCACCCGAGACUCAGUGAAAUUGAACUCGCUGUGAAGAUGCAGUGUACCCGCGGCAAGACGGAAAGACCCCGUGAACCUUUACUAUAGCUUGACACUGAACAUUGAGCCUUGAUGUGUAGGAUAGGUGGGAGGCUUUGAAGUGUGGACGCCAGUCUGCAUGGAGCCGACCUUGAAAUACCACCCUUUAAUGUUUGAUGUUCUAACGUGGACCCGUGAUCCGGGUUGCGGACAGUGUCUGGUGGGUAGUUUGACUGGGGCGGUCUCCUCCUAAAGAGUAACGGAGGAGCACGAAGGUUGGCUAAUCCUGGUCGGACAUCAGGAGGUUAGUGCAAUGGCAUAAGCCAGCUUGACUGCGAGCGUGACGGCGCGAGCAGGUGCGAAAGCAGGUCAUAGUGAUCCGGUGGUUCUGAAUGGAAGGGCCAUCGCUCAACGGAUAAAAGGUACUCCGGGGAUAACAGGCUGAUACCGCCCAAGAGUUCAUAUCGACGGCGGUGUUUGGCACCUCGAUGUCGGCUCAUCACAUCCUGGGGCUGAAGUAGGUCCCAAGGGUAUGGCUGUUCGCCAUUUAAAGUGGUACGCGAGCUGGGUUUAGAACGUCGUGAGACAGUUCGGUCCCUAUCUGCCGUGGGCGCUGGAGAACUGAGGGGGGCUGCUCCUAGUACGAGAGGACCGGAGUGGACGCAUCACUGGUGUUCGGGUUGUCAUGCCAAUGGCACUGCCCGGUAGCUAAAUGCGGAAGAGAUAAGUGCUGAAAGCAUCUAAGCACGAA